This is a non-coding RNA of Cordylochernes scorpioides, 78 nucleotides long. The record is from the annotation of a GenBank genome assembly. Lineage: Eukaryota; Metazoa; Arthropoda; Arachnida; Pseudoscorpiones; Chernetidae.
UCCAGGGUAGCCAAUAAGGGUGGACAUGGCACCUGCCCGGUAAGCAGAAGGUUGUGGGUUCGAUUCCCGCCCCUGAAC